AUGAUUUAUGAGCUGGCAAAAGUUUAUUUAUCUGAUUAUCUUUUCUGCUCUGAUUUAAUAUCUCAUGGUUUUCCUCUUUUUUAUGCAUUUUCUGAUUCUUUUCUGUAUGCAGGACAGGAUUUGGGAGUUCUCUCGUUAGAAGUCAGAUUGACGAACGGGUGCUUUGUGACAUUGAGCUUGGAUAUUAACCUCCAUGAUCUGAUUCAAAUUGUGGUGUUAAUCUUUCCUUUUGUUUUUCCUGUUGCACUUUCUUAA
Non-coding RNA from Vicia faba (fava bean), 255 nucleotides. The record is from the annotation of a GenBank genome assembly. Lineage: Eukaryota; Viridiplantae; Streptophyta; Magnoliopsida; Fabales; Fabaceae.